RNAcentral lists this non-coding RNA (77 nucleotides) under uncultured archaeon. The record is from RNAcentral.
UUGAGCCGUAUGAAGCGAAAGUUUCACGUACGGUUCUUAGAAGAGAGGGAGCAAGUAAUUGCUCCUUCUUAUUCGGC